UACGGGGGGUGCAAGCGUACUUCGGAAUUAUUGGGCGUAAAGGGCGCGUAGGCGGUUGAAUAAGUCAGAUGUGAAAGCCAUUGGCUUAACCAAGGAAGUACAUUUGAUACUAUUUGACUUGAGUAUGGGAGAGGGAAGUGGAAUUCCUGGUGUAGAGGUGAAAUUCGUAGAUAUCAGGAGGAACACCGGUGGCGAAAGCGACUUCCUGGACCAAUACUGACGCUGAGGCGCGAAGGCGUGGUGAGCAAACAGG
RNAcentral lists this ribosomal RNA (253 nucleotides) under uncultured bacterium. RNAcentral's name for it is "partial 16S ribosomal RNA". It matches the Rfam family "Bacterial small subunit ribosomal RNA", at positions 524 to 776 of the family's 1533-position model. The record is from RNAcentral.